GUGUCAGCAGCCGCGGUAAUACGUAGGUGGCGAGCGUUGUCCGGAAUUAUUGGGCGUAAAGAGCGUGUAGGUGGGAUCAUAAGUCUUUUGUCAAAGUGCGGGGCUCAACCCCGUGAUGCGGAGGAAACUGUGAUUCUUGAGUGCCGGAGAGGAAAGCGGAAUUCCCAGUGUAGCGGUGAAAUGCGUAGAUAUUGGGAGGAACACCAGUGGCGAAGGCGGCUUUCUGGACGGUGUCUGACACUGAGGCGCGAAAGCCAGGGGAGCGAACGGGAUUAGAUACCCCGGUAGUCCUGGCCGUAAACGAUGGGUACUAGGUGUAGGAGGUAUCGACCCCUUCUGUGCCGGAGUUAACGCAAUAAGUACCCCGCCUGGGGAGUACGGCCGCAAGGUUGAA
This 394-nucleotide ribosomal RNA is filed under the name uncultured bacterium. Its description in RNAcentral is "bacterial SSU rRNA". It matches the Rfam family "Bacterial small subunit ribosomal RNA", at positions 505 to 898 of the family's 1533-position model. The record is from RNAcentral.